Passer domesticus (house sparrow) is the source of this 359-nucleotide long non-coding RNA. RefSeq lists it as uncharacterized. The transcript is spliced from 4 exons. The record is from RefSeq and is a predicted model, not a curated record. Lineage: Eukaryota; Metazoa; Chordata; Aves; Passeriformes; Passeridae.
GAAAGGAGAGCCUGCGGAGAAAGAAGCAUUUCCCGGAGGAAGCAGUGGUUGCAUGCCAGCCUCAGCUCCAGGAAGGGAGGCCAUGCCAGGCACAGGCACAGGAGAUGAGGGUGCUGGGAAGGCUUCUCCAUCAGCUUGGAUGAAUAAAAUUUUGAAGCCCUUGGAGCCUCCUGCAGAUGUGUCUACAGGGAAGACUUCUCCAGCUUCUCCAGCUGCUACCUUGGAUGCUGCACUCAAGCCCAGCUCCCAUCUCAGGGGUACUCCAACAGGGAAAAUCCAAGAUACAACAGAUAAGAUAUCCCUGGAACCAUCCAAACAGAUGAGGCAAGAGCUGAAGGAACCCCUGCAGACAAGAGAAG